CCUCUGGGCCCUUCCUCCAGC
This 21-nucleotide microRNA is filed under the name Equus caballus (horse). RNAcentral's name for it is "eca-miR-326". Its record names the gene eca-miR-326. RNAcentral also lists the same sequence under 2 other names. Lineage: Eukaryota; Metazoa; Chordata; Mammalia; Perissodactyla; Equidae. The record is from miRBase by way of RNAcentral.